This 68-nucleotide transfer RNA is filed under the name Odontophorus gujanensis (marbled wood quail). Its description in RNAcentral is "tRNA-Ser". The record is from RNAcentral. Lineage: Eukaryota; Metazoa; Chordata; Aves; Galliformes; Odontophoridae.
GAGGGGGAAGAAUAAAUCAGCAAGAGCUGCUAACUCUUGCAUCCGAGCCUCAAACCUCGGCCCCCUUA